Molecule: ribosomal RNA, 958 nt
Filed under: uncultured bacterium
Lineage: Bacteria
Description: bacterial SSU rRNA
Rfam family: Bacterial small subunit ribosomal RNA
Source: RNAcentral
CCGAAUUCGUCCAUACAGAGUUUGAUCCUGGCUCAGAACGAACGCUGGCGGCAGGCUUAACACAUGCAAGUCGAACGAGAUCUUCGGAUCUAGUGGCGCACGGGUGAGUAACGCGUGGGAACCUGUCCUGUGGUUCGGGAUACCUCCGGGAAACUGGAGUUAAUACCGGGUAUCUCCUGAGGGAGAAAGAUUUAUCGCCAUAGGGUGGGCCCGCGUCCGAUUAGCUAGUUGGUGGGGUAAAGGCCUACCAAGGCGUCGAUCGGUAGCUGGUCUGAGAGGAUGAUCAGCCACACUGGGACUGAGACACGGCCCAGACUCCUACGGGAGGCAGCAGUGGGGAAUAUUGGACAAUGGGGGCAACCCUGAUCCAGCCAUGCCGCGUGAGUGAUGAAGGCCUUCGGGUUGUAAAGCUCUUUCGACGGGGACGAUGAUGACGGUACCCGUAGAAGAAGCCCCGGCUAACUUCGUGCCAGCAGCCGCGGUAAUACGAAGGGGGCGAGCGUUGUUCGGAAUUACUGGGCGUAAAGGGCGCGUAGGCGGCGCACCAAGUCAGGCGUGAAAGCCCUGGGCUUAACCCAGGAACUGCGUUUGAGACUGGUGUGCUGGAGUGCAAGAGAGGUCGGCGGAAUUCCCAGUGUAGAGGUGAAAUUCGUAGAGAUUGGGAAGAACACCGGUGGCGUAGGCGGCCGACUGGACUGUAACUGACGCUGAGGCGCGAAAGCGUGGGGAGCAAACGGAUUAGAAUCCCUGGUAGCCCACGCCGAAACGAAUGGGGCUAAGCCGUUGGGGGCCCUAAGGCCCUCCGUGGCGCAGCUAACGCAUUUACGCCCCGCCUGGGGAAGAACGGGCGCAGGGUAAAAAUCAAAGGAUUUGACGGGGGGCCCGCCCAAGGGGGGAAAAUUGGGGUUAAAUUUCAAAAAAACGGGAAAAACCUUUCCCCCCCCUUGGAUUCUCGGUU